RNAcentral lists this ribosomal RNA (253 nucleotides) under uncultured bacterium. RNAcentral describes it as "partial 16S ribosomal RNA". It matches the Rfam family "Bacterial small subunit ribosomal RNA", at positions 524 to 776 of the family's 1533-position model. The record is from RNAcentral.
UACGUAGGGUGCGAGCGUUGUCCGGAAUUAUUGGGCGUAAAGGGCUCGUAGGCGGUUUGUCGCGUCGGGAGUGAAAUCCACUGGCUUAACUGGUGGCUUGCUUUCGAUACGGGCAGACUGGAGGUAUGUAGGGGAGAACGGAAUUCCUGGUGUAGCGGUGAAAUGCGCAGAUAUCAGGAGGAACACCGGUGGCGAAGGCGGUUCUCUGGGCAUGUCCUGACGCUGAGGAGCGAAAGUGUGGGGAGCGAACAGG